UACGGAGGAGGCAAGCGUUAUCCGGAAUUAUUGGGCGUAAAGCGCGUGUAGGCGGCUUUGCAAGUCGGGUGUGAAAGCCCUCAGCUCAACUGAGGAAGUGCGCCCGAAACUGCAGAGCUUGAGUGCCGGAGAGGGUGGCGGAAUUCCCCAAGUAGAGGUGAAAUUCGUAGAUAUGGGGAGGAACACCGGUGGCGAAGGCGGCCACCUGGACGGUAACUGACGCUGAGACGCGAAAGCGUGGGUAGCAAACAGG
RNAcentral lists this ribosomal RNA (253 nucleotides) under uncultured bacterium. RNAcentral describes it as "partial 16S ribosomal RNA". It matches the Rfam family "Bacterial small subunit ribosomal RNA", at positions 524 to 776 of the family's 1533-position model. The record is from RNAcentral.